Molecule: ribosomal RNA, 749 nt
Filed under: Bacillus sp. (in: firmicutes)
Lineage: Bacteria; Bacillati; Bacillota; Bacilli; Caryophanales; Bacillaceae
Description: Bacillus sp. (in: Bacteria) partial 16S ribosomal RNA
Rfam family: Bacterial small subunit ribosomal RNA
Source: RNAcentral
GGCGUAAAGNGCGCANCAGGCGUUUUNUUAAGUNNGAUGUGAAAGCCCCCGGCUCAACCGGGGGAGGGUCAUUGGAAANUGGGGAANUUGAGUGCAGAAGAGGAGANGGAAUUNNANGUGUAGCGGUGAAAAUGCGUAGAGAUGNGGNGGNAACANCCAGUGGNGAAGGNGACUNNNUGUCUGUAACUGACGAUGAGGCGCGAAAAGCGUGGGGAGNGAACAGGAUNAGAUANNNGGUAGUACACGCCGUAAACGAUGAGUGNUAAGUGUUAGAGGGUNUCCGCCCUNUAGUGNUGCAGCAAACGCAAUAAGCACUCCGCCUGGGGAGUGCGGUCGCAAGACUGAAACUCAAAGGAAUUGACGGGGGCCCGCACAAGCGGUGGAGCAUGUGGUUUAAUUNGAAGCAACGCGAAGAACCUUACCAGGUCUUGNCAUCNUCUGACAACCNUAGAGAUAGGGCAUCCCCUUCGGGGGCAGAGUGACAGGUGGUGCAUGGUUGUCGUCAGCUCGUGUCGUGAGAUGUUGGGUUAAGUCCCGCAACGAGCGCAACCCUUGAUCUUAGUUGCCAGCAUUCAGUUGGGCACUCUAAGGUGACUGCCGGUGACAAACCGGAGGAAGGUGGGGAGGACGUCANAUCAUCAUGCCCCUUAUGACCUGGGCUACACACGUGCUACAAUGGGCAGAACAAAGGGCAGAGAAGCCGCGAGGGUAAGCCAAUCCCACAAAUAUCUUUNCAGNUCGGANCCCAG